GGCUCGUUGGUCUAGGGGUAUGAUUUCUCGCUUAGGGUGCGAGUGGUCCCGGGUGCAAAUCCCGGGACGAGCCC
Non-coding RNA from Merluccius polli (Benguela hake), 74 nucleotides. Lineage: Eukaryota; Metazoa; Chordata; Actinopteri; Gadiformes; Merlucciidae. The record is from the annotation of a GenBank genome assembly.